GUGCUGGGUACAUGUUCCCAGGUGAGAGGGGCUGGCCUGUGUUGGAUACAUGUUCCCAGGUGAGUGGGGCUGGCCUGUGCUGGGGUACAUGUUCCCAGGUGAGUGGGGCUGGCCUG
Long non-coding RNA from Homarus americanus (American lobster), 116 nucleotides. RefSeq lists it as uncharacterized. The transcript has 3 exons. Lineage: Eukaryota; Metazoa; Arthropoda; Malacostraca; Decapoda; Nephropidae. The record is from RefSeq and is a predicted model, not a curated record.